AAAGAAAUCUCUAGAGAUAAACACCAUUGUUCAAAUUCAAAAACCAGAUUUUCGAUCAUAUUUGUCGAUGCCCUUCUGUUGCGUUGACUGUGCCGAGACGAGCAUUCAGAUAUAUACACACACUAUGUGAACGAUGAUAACACAUACAGAUGCAGCAAAUAUGAGAGAUUGUAAUGAUGUGUACCUGGUGUGAUGAACAGAAAAUGUUGUGAAUAUCAAAGCAACGAAUCGGUAAUGUUGUCAGGGAUAUGAAACACCGAUUCCUUGUGGUUGAUUGCAGAUUAUCGGCCAAAUCCCAGUGAAGAGUCUAGUCGUGCUGAUAACGUGAUAAGAAACUAAUGUGACUAAUGUGGAAAUUGUAUUGAAUCUUGAAUAUUUGUUCCCA
This 385-nucleotide long non-coding RNA is filed under the name Helianthus annuus (common sunflower). Its description in RNAcentral is "sRNA HanXRQr2_Chr06g0265361". The record is from RNAcentral. Lineage: Eukaryota; Viridiplantae; Streptophyta; Magnoliopsida; Asterales; Asteraceae.